ACUUUCAAAGGAUAGUAGUAAUCCAAUGGUCUUAGGAACCAGCUACCUUGGUGCAAAUCCAAGUGAAAGUA
This 71-nucleotide transfer RNA is filed under the name Erpornis zantholeuca. Its description in RNAcentral is "tRNA-Leu". It matches the Rfam family "tRNA". Rfam says of the family: Transfer RNA (tRNA) molecules are approximately 80 nucleotides in length. Their secondary structure includes four short double-helical elements and three loops (D, anti-codon, and T loops). Lineage: Eukaryota; Metazoa; Chordata; Aves; Passeriformes; Timaliidae. The record is from RNAcentral.